This 221-nucleotide long non-coding RNA is filed under the name Pelobates cultripes (western spadefoot toad). Lineage: Eukaryota; Metazoa; Chordata; Amphibia; Anura; Pelobatidae. The record is from RNAcentral.
UGACAAUCAAUUUCACAUGCUGUUGUGCAAAUGGGAUAGACAACAGGUGGAAAUUAUAGGCAAUUAGCAAGACACCCCCAAUAAAGGAGUGGUUCUGCAGGUGGUGAAUAUAGACCACUUCUCCGUUCCUAUGCUUCCUGCUGAUGUUUUGGUCACUUUUGAAUGCUGGCGGUGCUUUCACUCUAGUGGGAGCAUGAGACGGAGUCUACAACCCACACAAG